Molecule: ribosomal RNA, 546 nt
Filed under: Aureobasidium thailandense
Lineage: Eukaryota; Fungi; Ascomycota; Dothideomycetes; Dothideales; Saccotheciaceae
Description: eukaryotic LSU rRNA
Rfam family: Eukaryotic large subunit ribosomal RNA
Source: RNAcentral
GCGAGUGAAGCGGCAACAGCUCAAAUUUGAAAGCUGGCCUUCGGGUCCGCAUUGUAAUUUGUAGAGGAUGCUUUGGGGCAGCCGCCUGUCUAAGUUCCUUGGAACAGGACGUCAUAGAGGGUGAGAAUCCCGUAUGUGACAGGACAUGGCACCCUAUGUAAAGCUCCUUCGACGAGUCGAGUUGUUUGGGAAUGCAGCUCUAAAUGGGAGGUAAAUUUCUUCUAAAGCUAAAUACCGGCGAGAGACCGAUAGCGCACAAGUAGAGUGAUCGAAAGAUGAAAAGCACUUUGGAAAGAGAGUUAAAAAGCACGUGAAAUUGUUGAAAGGGAAGCGCUUGCAAUCAGACUUGUUUUGACUGUUCGGCCGGUCUUCUGACCGGUUUACUCAGUCUGGACAGGCCAGCAUCAGUUUUGGCGGCCGGAUAAAGGCCUAGGGAAUGUGGCUCUCGCUUCGGUGGGAGUGUUAUAGCCCUGGGUGUAAUACGGCCAGCCGGGACUGAGGUCCGCGCUUCGGCUAGGAUGCUGGCGUAAUGGUUGUAAGCGACCC